Molecule: ribosomal RNA, 253 nt
Filed under: uncultured bacterium
Lineage: Bacteria
Description: partial 16S ribosomal RNA
Rfam family: Bacterial small subunit ribosomal RNA
Source: RNAcentral
UACGUAGGGUGCAAGCGUUGUCCGGAAUUAUUGGGCGUAAAGAGCUCGUAGGCGGUUUGUUGCGUCGGCUGUGAAAUCCCGAGGCUCAACCUCGGGUCUGCAGUCGAUACGAGCAAACUAGAGUGUUGUAGGGGAGACUGGAAUUCCUGGUGUAGCGGUGAAAUGCGCAGAUAUCAGGAGGAACACCGGUGGCGAAGGCGGGUCUCUGGGCAACAACUGACGCUGAGGAGCGAAAGCGUGGGGAGCGAACAGG